Molecule: non-coding RNA, 30 nt
Filed under: Rattus norvegicus (Norway rat)
Lineage: Eukaryota; Metazoa; Chordata; Mammalia; Rodentia; Muridae
Source: RNAcentral
UAGAACCUGAUAGAGGCUAUUGAUAUUAGA